AGCAAAUAUAUUUUUUAAGAAACCCUCUGCAAGAAAAACUAUCGAGAAAACAUAAUAAAACAGACAAGUUAAACACACAAAAAAUAGGAAAGGGAAGAAAAGACAAAUUAAGUGUGCGAGAACAAUUUACUAGAGAAGCCAUACUAGAAUCUUAAGAUACAAAGACCAGCAUCCAAACAAGUUCUGCUACAAGGUAGGUAAUUGUUUAAGAAGUUGAAACAUAACAUGGGCUAGCAAAAAACAUUAGUACCCAUGCAUUAAGAUAAACAUCUAAAGCAUCAGUUGAAACAUAACAUGGGCUAACAUCUAAAGCUCUCCAACCAGAUCUAUAUAUUCACAACAUCAUGUCGAUGCAAGCUAAACAAUACUACUUCUCAGCUCUCCAACCUAGCAUUAAGAUAAAUAAUACUCGUGCCAUGGUAAACAAGCUAUCAACUGCAACCAGUUACAAGGAUUAGAAAUCGAUUCCUCAAGCUUUUUACUACUUCUUAGAUGAGUUAAGUCCCCUCUUCAUUCCAAAGCCAACAACUGCAAACUUUGUCCUGCCAUACAAGCCAAAAAGGAUUGGUGCAUAAACAGACAUGUCAAAAUGAUAGGCACCACAAAUGCACAUCAUGAAUGGAUAUAUAAAGGAAGAAGAAACAUAUUGCAGUGACGAACAAAAAAAAUAGUUUGAAAAAAUGAGUAUUAUCAUUACCUCAAAAAUGUUGAUUUACUGAGUGGUUAUAGCAAUCUCAGUUGCACCUGGGGGUGAAUCAAUAUCAUCAUUAUCUACACUUGGAUCCUGAGUAGCAUCAUCAUUUGAUAUUCCAAUACUACAUUUAAACAAAUAGCAAAGUCAAAUUUAAACAAAUACCAAAGGAACCCCUCAAUAAAUUAUUAAAUAAAUUUUAUAAUAAGUAAAUAAGCUUACAGAUUAUUAAAUAAGCCGGAUUUAGUUUAGCUUUUUAUCAAAUGACAAAUCAAUAACCUUGAAAGGGCUUACCAUAAUAUCCUUUUCAAAGAUGAUUCAAUUUUAUAUUAGCACUAACAUGCAAACAAUGACUCUAAAUAAUAUAAUUUGACCAUUUUGGAAUUGACGCAAAAAUAUCCUUCAACUUCUCAACACAAGAGCCAAAACUAAACAUUUUGAAACAGCCAACUUUUCCCAAAAAGGGAAGCCCAAAUAUUUCUUAAACAUGUUAUUCUAUUUUAAACACAAAUUUCAGUCUUAAAAAUUAAACAUUAAGAAGACUAUUGCGUCACCUUUUUAACAUGAAUAAAAGAAGAACUCUGUUUUUCGGACUGAAUUAGUGCCCAUACCUUCCGACCAUUAAUCUUGCUGUUACGGUAGAUUUAUUCUAAAUUAAAUUUAGUUUUGUGGAAAACACCAUUAGACCCAUAGACUUGAAUUGAUUACUAAAACAAGUCAGCCAAUUACUUACUUGUUACGGCUGUUAUAUAACCUCUAGCAUUUUCCCAAGGGAAGGAGGUUUAGAGGUUGAAGAAUAGAGGGCACUAGUAUAGAAGUAUAGAAAUUUACAUUCCACCACUAAAUUUAUUCCUGAUUCUUAAAAAAAAUAAAUAAGAAAAUAGGUCAAAAUUGGGGCUGGAUUUGUUCAAAUUUUGGGCCCAAAUUAAGAGAGGAGAGAAGUUUGGUGUGUUUUGUUUGUGUUAGGACUGAAAUUUUAUGAGAGAUUCACAAAAUUGGAACAAAUAUAAACCCAAGAUUCAUACCUGAUUGUCGUUUUCUACUAGCAAUGGUGGUGCUGAGAUGGUUAAGGAGCAGAGCAGAGCAGCGGGAGACACGCAAAAUCGGGAGAGCUAGGAAGCGAAGAGAGAGAGAGAGAGAGAAAGAGGCGUGUAAUCGAUUUCUAAGAGGAGAAGAGCAGCGGGAGAGGGUUUUGUCUUUUGGGAGAGAUGAUGUUAUGUUAUGUCCUGAUAUGUCGAAUU
This 1932-nucleotide long non-coding RNA is filed under the name Panax ginseng (ginseng). RNAcentral describes it as "long non-coding RNA (PGIN_LNC006207)". The record is from RNAcentral. Lineage: Eukaryota; Viridiplantae; Streptophyta; Magnoliopsida; Apiales; Araliaceae.